This is a long non-coding RNA of Manihot esculenta (cassava), 970 nucleotides long. RefSeq lists it as uncharacterized. NCBI's taxonomy places the organism in Eukaryota, Viridiplantae, Streptophyta, Magnoliopsida, Malpighiales, Euphorbiaceae. The transcript is spliced from 2 exons. The record is from RefSeq and is a predicted model, not a curated record.
AACUCUCAAGUCUACUGCCGCCCUCCCUUCUCCCAUUCGGCCUCUCCGUCACUCGUCUGGUACAGCCGUGCGCCUCCCGCCGAUCGUUCCUCUGCUCCACACUGUCAACGUCGUUCUACGAUCGGUUCCUGCGUCCGCUGGUCUGCUUGCUUCUUUGCUCUUCUCCGCCGCUUCCUCUACUCCAAUCUUACCGUCGGGUGCUGCUCCUCGCCGCGCCCUCAGUCACUGCACGAUAAUCUUUUGAAGGAAGAGGUAUUUUAUUUUAUCAUAUAAUUAAGCUAGUAAUUACUUAGUGAAUCUCCACCAUCUUCGGCUUGUCCUAAGCUUAAAGGAUGGCAGAAGAAGAGGGAUGAUUCGACAGCACUUGAGCUACUCCAAUUUCCUUGUCUUUCAAAUUUCUAUUGUAAUAACUGCCCGAAUUUGACCUCCAUCCCUCAGUUUCCAUCUCUCGAUCAAUCACUACAUUUGCAGAAAGCAAGCCCACAAGUUGUGCACCAAAUAUUCACACCAUCAAUCUCUUCUUCUUCGUCAAUCUUCCUCCUCUCUCUAAAUUGAAGCACCUUUGGAUUGUGAACAUUGAAGAGCUCGAAUCCCUACCUCCAGAUGGACUGCGGAAUCUCACUUGUCUUCAAGAAUUAAGUUUUUGGUCUUGCCCGGCAUUGAAGUGUCUGCCUCAAGAUUGCAUUCCCUCACCUCUUUACGAAUGUUGGAUAUCCGGGACUGUCCCCAAUUGAAGAAGAGAAGUGGAAAUAAAAAGGGUGAGGAUUGGGAAUUCAUUUCACACAUCCAAAAUAUUGAAGUUGAUAGACAAACAAUUCAAUAGGAGGGCCGGUAUCUACUGGAUGAUGAAGCUUCGAUCAAUGAAGGAUAAGUUUUCAACUGUUGGAUGUGUUUCUUCCAAAAUGAGCACUGUAUUGCUUUUGAGUUCGUAAGUAUCCUUUUGUCAUUAUUUCUUUACAAUCAAGGUCAA